Molecule: ribosomal RNA, 282 nt
Filed under: uncultured bacterium
Lineage: Bacteria
Description: partial 16S ribosomal RNA
Rfam family: Bacterial small subunit ribosomal RNA
Source: RNAcentral
CGUUGCCUGCACCUGCCGGCGACCGGCGCACGGGUGAGUAACACGUAUGGAACCUGCCCGCCACAGGGGGAUAACCCGGGGAAACCCGGCCUAAUACCCCAUGCCGCCCGACCGGGCAUCCGGUCCGGGCGAAAGGAGGAAUCCGGUGGCGGCUGGGCAUGCGGCGCAUUAGCUUGACGGCGGGGUAACGGCUCACCAAGGCGACGAUACAUAGGGGGACUGAGAGGUCAACCCCCCACAUUGGUACUGAGACACGGACCAAACUCCUACGGGAGGCAGCAG